RNAcentral lists this transfer RNA (57 nucleotides) under Dipodomys ordii (Ord's kangaroo rat). It matches the Rfam family "tRNA", at positions 8 to 63 of the family's 71-position model. Rfam says of the family: Transfer RNA (tRNA) molecules are approximately 80 nucleotides in length. Their secondary structure includes four short double-helical elements and three loops (D, anti-codon, and T loops). The record is from Rfam by way of RNAcentral. Lineage: Eukaryota; Metazoa; Chordata; Mammalia; Rodentia; Heteromyidae.
UGGCUCAAUGGUAGAGUGUUUGCCUUGCAUGCAUGAGGCCCGGGGUUCGAUUCCUCA